This is a long non-coding RNA of Sarcophilus harrisii (Tasmanian devil), 3665 nucleotides long. Lineage: Eukaryota; Metazoa; Chordata; Mammalia; Dasyuromorphia; Dasyuridae. The record is from Ensembl.
CUGUUAGAGAGAUGAGUAAAAAAAGGGACAAGAACAGAAAACAGAUCAAGCAUGCAUAAUCUAUGGAAGAGGACAUCCAUCUUAUUCAAGGGAUGCUCAGAAUAGCUCUCAGCAGAACUGGAGGCUGAAGAACAAUACACCUUGAAUCAUGAGAUUUUGGAUUCUCUGAGUCAGCCCUAGAGUGGCUGAAAAUCCAUGAACACUGGAUGAGAUCCAGAUUUCUUUCUUAAUGACCUAUCUAGUCCAGACUGGCUUAGUUGUCCUUUCCAGAAAUGUCAAGAAUGACAACAGAAAACAAACCAACCGAUUGGCUACUUUUCUGAAACGAUCUAUCCAUUGGAUGUUGUUGUGGAAGAUAUCAAGAAUGGCUCCAUGCCUGAGUUGCUCUUUAAAAGACCAAAAGGAGAUAAACCACAAGGUGAUAGGUGUCAAAUCCAUUGUAAAGCCAACUGUAAAUGUGAAUUAAAAUUGGGUGACUAAGUUUUAUCUGUUUCAAGCUCACACAAAGUUACUACAUGGUAAAUUAACUGUUUAUCUCAUGUUCUGAGAAAUAGGCCUAUGAUUUAGUAAACCUAAUUACAAAUCAUCCUUGGUUGGAGGUAAAACCAAAAGAGUGCAAGCUCUCCAAUUUCUGCCAUGCUGGAGAGACUCUGAAAUUGUUUCUGCUACUUACAUGAGCAAAAUGAUAUUUUGCAUUUCUUACAUGAAGGAAGCAACUUGCAUUCAGAAAUAGUUGUAAGACUAUAUUAAACAUCAAAAAUAUUUUAAAUUACCUCUAUAACUCAUUAAGAGACAUAAGUGCAAAAAACAAUGUUAUUAUUACUGAGUCAUUUUGCUUGUCCAACUCUUUGGGGUUUUCUUGGCAAAACAUACAUGACUAGUUUACCAUUUAUUUGUCCACCUUAUUUUACAGAUGAGGAAACUGAAGCAAAUAAGGGUAAGUGAUUUUCCCAGGGUCACACAACUAGUAUGCAUCUGGGGUCAGAUUUAUGUUUAAAUCUUCCUGAUUCCAGGACUGACACACUAUAUACUGUACCACCUAGGUCCCCAAAUAACAAUGCUACUAGCUACUUAGUACAAUGACUUUAUACAUCUAUCUAUCUAUCUAUCUAUCUAUCUAUCUAUAUUUUAAGCCAGGGAUGUCAAACAUACAGCCACAGACCACAUGUAGUUCACAGUAUUCCCAAGUAUGACCAGAUUCAUAUUAAAAUGUAAUUGGGAAAUGUUUUAUGAAAUAAAUAAAGAUACAAUAAAACAUAGCUAAUGUUAAUCAACCAAAAAAUAUUUAUUAAAAAGUGCCAGACACUUUAAUAAAUAUCGGGAUUAUAAAAAGAGGGCAGAAGAGAGUCUCUGUCCUCAAAGAGUUUAUUAUGAAUGUUAAUCUGUGGUUUCCUAAAUCAAUAGGCAUGUCAGCAGAGAUUCUUAUAUAUGGUUCAGUGACCCCUGUUUCUACUUGAAUUUGUUUUAAAAUUUACAAAGCAUUGUCCUCACAAUAACUCUAAGAGGUAAGAUCAGGCAAGAAACACAACUUCAUUUUAGAGAUGAGAAAACUGAGAUUUAGACAUGUUAAGUGAGUUGGCUAUGGCUCUUACAAUAUUUCUGUUCUUAAUCAAUCCAAGUUUCCUGGUAAUAGACUGAUUUAUUUAUUGAUUCAGUAUCCCAUGAGAAUGAUUGUUCAUUGGCUUUUUUAGAAGAAAUGAGGAAAAACCCAAGGGUCCCUUUCAAAAAAUAAAAACAAUUUUUCUUUUUGUGUUAUAAACUUUUAGUCAUCAACAAGCAUGAAGAUCAAGAUAAAAGAACAAAAAUAUGGACUUCUACUAAUAUGUAACUUGCAUUUAAUUGUAUAUUAAAUUUAAAAUUAAGUGGUAAGCAGUAUAGUAAAGGAUUAUGGGAACCAGAAUGACCUCCAUUUAAAUCUUACCUUUCUCUGACACAUACUGAUCAUGUGACUGAACAAAAAGUCAUCAUCUCUGUACUCAGGGCAGCUCUCUAGAACUAUAAACUGCAAAGAAGGUGGCAUUCUGCUUUGGUAGAAGGAGUUCCCUAGGCUAAUUAAAUGACGGGCCUAGUUCCUAUCCCUACUUCUUUUCCUUUUUAAUUUUCCUUCAUUUUGAAUAUGAAAACAAAAAGACCAAAAAAAAAAAAAUCCCUUGUACUGACCACAACAUAAAAAGAGGGUUCAAUAUAAAACCAUGAGUUUUCAUUUCAUAGUUUGCUUUUUAAAAAGCAAUAACUAUGUAAGAAGUACUAUACAUGAUUUUCAAAGCUGUUCUGCUUUUUUGUGCUUCUUUCUUGGUUUUCUUUUGUUCUCUACUGUGUGCUUUUUAUUUUUUUUCCUCCUUUCCUCAUCUAGUUCCAAAGAAGCCUAACAUCAGUCACAAUAUGUAUAUAUAUGUAAACCAUAUUAUAUUACAUUAUAUUAUUCUACUAAUCAAUUCUUUUUUAAUCCCUAUCCUUACUAAAUUUAACAUAGUUAAAAUGUCCUAUUUGUGAAUGGCCUUGAUCCAUGGUUCUUUUACCUGUAGUCCCCAUUGAUACUGAAAGCAGAGAUAAGAAAAACACGGACAUCCUUCAAAGCCCUCAUGGAAUGAAAUUCAGUUUUGAAUACAGUUGGCAUUUUCAUUUCAUUCAAGACAUUAACCUGUUUUUAAUCUAAUUAUGAGUAAGAAAUCACAAUGCUAAUAGAAAGUAAACAGGGGUAGGUUUUCUCUUACUGUUUGCUAAACCGAUAUUCUGGAAUUGAGGAUAGAAACCUAUAGCAUUAGCUUGGCAAGGGAUGGGUAAAAUUACUAAAGAAAAAUAAAGCCACUAAGUCUUGGAAAAGAUUCAGCUGAGGUGCUGCCACCUGAAUAUACAUUUAGUUUCACGGAUUCCCUAUAUUAAAACAUUUCAUUCUUGGCUGGCAAGAAUCUAAACAUUUCCAUUUUUAUCUGCACCCAAUCUUUCUGUUCCCUCUUAGUACACCCUCCACUAGUUUGGAAAAUAGGCAUUUGACAUACAGACUAAAAGUUAUGUAUUUUUUAUUAUAUGGAAUGUAAAUAUCAAGGAGAAUAUUAUAACACAUUAAAACAACUUUGAAAAUGGUAUAUUUUUUUCCUAUUCUACCAUAAUCUGAUGCUUUGGCUCUCCUUUUGGCCAAAAGGAAUUAAAUAUUUGAAGGAUGAAUGAGUUUUUUGUUGUUUCAGUUAUGUCCAACUCUUUGUGCCCUCAUUUGGGGUUUUCUUGGCAAAGGUACUGGAAUAGUUUGCUAUUUCCUUCUCCAAAUCAAUUUAGAAAUAAAGAAACUGAGGCAAGCAGAAUUAAGUGAUUUGCCCAACAUCACACAGCUAGUAAGAGUCUGAAGCUGAAUUUGAACUCAUGAAGAAGAGUUUUUCUAAUCACAGGCCCAACACUUUAUCCACUGUUCCACCUACCUGCCCAAGAGAAGCUUAGAUAAAUUCAAUAAUUAGCAGAGUAGAAGCAAAAUUAGGCAAAAGCUUUUCAUGUACCCCAAUUACUCUUCUCCUUUUGCUUUUUCCCCCUACUUAAUGUUGCCUCUUUCCAAAUCAUUAACACUAGACAACUUUCCACAUUAUCUAGAGUAGCUGAAAAUGUAAUCAGCAAAAGAGAAAAUUUAAAUAUACUAAAGUCCUAUGUUAAGUCAGAACAGAAGGAAAAGGUGGAAG